AUUGCUUCUCAGCCUUUUGGCUAAGAUCAAGUGCAGAAUCCAAAUGCAAAUAUAUAUAUAUAUAUAUAUAUUUUUUUUUUUUUUUUUUUAGACAAGGUCUCACCAUGCAGUACAGGCUGACCUUGAAUUUGCAGCCAUCCUCAUGCCUCAGCCUCCCGAG
RNAcentral lists this small nuclear RNA (160 nucleotides) under Heterocephalus glaber (naked mole-rat). RNAcentral's name for it is "U2 spliceosomal RNA (ENSHGLG00000049069.1)". It matches the Rfam family "U2 spliceosomal RNA". From Rfam's summary of the family: U2 is a small nuclear RNA (snRNA) component of the spliceosome (involved in pre-mRNA splicing). Complementary binding between U2 snRNA (in an area lying towards the 5' end but 3' to hairpin I) and the branchpoint sequence (BPS) of the intron results the bulging out of an unpaired adenosine, on the BPS, which initiates a nucleophilic attack at the intronic 5' splice site, thus starting the first of two transesterification reactions that mediate splicing. The record is from RNAcentral. Lineage: Eukaryota; Metazoa; Chordata; Mammalia; Rodentia; Bathyergidae.